Long non-coding RNA from Chenopodium quinoa (quinoa), 317 nucleotides. RefSeq lists it as uncharacterized. NCBI's taxonomy places the organism in Eukaryota, Viridiplantae, Streptophyta, Magnoliopsida, Caryophyllales, Amaranthaceae. The record is from RefSeq and is a predicted model, not a curated record. The transcript is spliced from 2 exons.
UAAAAAUGUUGACAUUAUUGCCCUUGUUUUAAUUUUUACCGAAAAUAAAAUUUUUCACUCAUAAAAAAUGUGGAGCAGGACUGGAUCGCCGAGUGAAACCGAAGAGCCCUCAACGUCGGGUAGAUGCACCGGAGAGACGCCGUUGACGCCGGAAAAGGAGGAUUAUGGUGGAGACGGAAAUGAUUAUAGUGGGAUGCGUUAUAUCAUGACCGGGUGCAGCAGUGGAACAAUCUAGUUGCCUUUUCUAUGUGACCUAAUAUUGCUAUUGCUAUGUUUUUCCCAUUUAUUUAAUUUUCGGAUUCUAAUUUUCGUAUUUA